CCUGGCUCAGGAUGAACGCUGGCGGCGUGCUUAACACAUGCAAGUCGAACGAUGAUCCCCNGCUUGCAUGGGGGAUUAGUGGCGAACGGGUGAGUAACACGUGAGUAACCUGCCCUUAACUUUGGGAUAAGCCUGGGAAACUGGGUCUAAUACCGGAUAUGACUCCUCAUCGCAUGGUGGGGGGUGGAAAGCUUUUGUGGUUUUGGAUGGACUCGCGGCCUAUCAGCUUGUUGGUGAGGUAAUGGCUCACCAAGGCGACGACGGGUAGCCGGCCUGAGAGGGUGACCGGCCACACUGGGACUGAGACACGGCCCAGACUCCUACGGGAGGCAGCAGUGGGGAAUAUUGCACAAUGGGCGGAAGCCUGAUGCAGCGACGCCGCGUGAGGGAUGACGGCCUUCGGGUUGUAAACCUCUUUCAGUAGGGAAGAAGCGAGAGUGACGGUACCUGCAGAAGAAGCGCCGGCUAACUACGUGCCAGCAGCCGCGGUAAUACGUAGGGCGCAAGCGUUAUCCGGAAUUAUUGGGCGUAAAGAGCUCGUAGGCGGUUUGUCGCGUCUGCCGUGAAAGUCCGGGGCUCAACUCCGGAUCUGCGGUGGGUACGGGCAGACUAGAGUGAUGUAGGGGAGACUGGAAUUCCUGGUGUAGCGGUGAAAUGCGCAGAUAUCAGGAGGAACACCGAUGGCGAAGGCAGGUCUCUGGGCAUUAACUGACGCUGAGGAGCGAAAGCAUGGGGAGCGAACAGGAUUAGAUACCCUGGUAGUCCAUGCCGUAAACGUUGGGCACUAGGUGUGGGGGACAUUCCACGUUUUCCGCGCCGUAGCUAACGCAUUAAGUGCCCCGCCUGGGGAGUACGGCCGCAAGGCUAAAACUCAAAGGAAUUGACGGGGGCCCGCACAAGCGGCGGAGCAUGCGGAUUAAUUCGAUGCAACGCGAAGAACCUUACCAAGGCUUGACAUGAACCGGUAAGACCUGGAAACAGGUCCCCCACUUGUGGCCGGUUUACAGGUGGUGCAUGGUUGUCGUCAGCUCGUGUCGUGAGAUGUUGGGUUAAGUCCCGCAACGAGCGCAACCCUCGUUCCAUGUUGCCAGCGCGUUAUGGCGGGGACUCAUGGGAGACUGCCGGGGUCAACUCGGAGGAAGGUGGGGACGACGUCAAAUCAUCAUGCCCCUUAUGNCUUGGGCUUCACGCAUGCUACAAUGGCCGGUACAAAGGGUUGCGAUACUGUGAGGUGGAGCUAAUCCCAAAAAGCCGGUCUCAGUUCGGAUUGGGGUCUGCAACUCGACCCCAUGAAGUCGGAGUCGCUAGUAAUCGCAGAUCAGCAACGCUGCGGU
This 1334-nucleotide ribosomal RNA is filed under the name Arthrobacter sp. 'SMCC G961'. RNAcentral describes it as "bacterial SSU rRNA". It matches the Rfam family "Bacterial small subunit ribosomal RNA", at positions 18 to 1363 of the family's 1533-position model. The record is from RNAcentral. Lineage: Bacteria; Bacillati; Actinomycetota; Actinomycetes; Micrococcales; Micrococcaceae.